Molecule: ribosomal RNA, 240 nt
Filed under: uncultured bacterium
Lineage: Bacteria
Description: partial 16S ribosomal RNA
Rfam family: Bacterial small subunit ribosomal RNA
Source: RNAcentral
AGCGUUGCUCGGAAUCACUGGGCGUAAAGCGCACGUAGGCGGCUUUUUAAGUCAGGGGUGAAAUCCUGGAGCUCAACUCCAGAACUGCCUUUGAUACUGAGAAGCUUGAGUCCGGGAGAGGUGAGUGGAACUGCGAGUGUAGAGGUGAAAUUCGUAGAUAUUCGCAAGAACACCAGUGGCGAAGGCGGCUCACUGGCCCGGUACUGACGCUGAGGUGCGAAAGCGUGGGGAGCAAACAGG